UGGGGAAUAUUGGACAAUGGGGGGAACCCUGAUCCAGCCAUGCCGCGUGUGUGAAGAAGGCCUUAUGGUUGUAAAGCACUUUAAGCGAGGAGGAGGGUACUGGUAUUAAUACUACCAGCUACUGGACGUUACUCGCAGAAUAAGCACCGGCUAACUCUGUGCCAGCAGCCGCGGUAAUACAGAGGGUGCGAGCGUUAAUCGGAUUUACUGGGCGUAAAGCGUGCGUAGGCGGCUAAUUGAGUCGGAUGUGAAAUCCCCGAGCUUAACUUGGGAAUUGCAUUCGAUACUGGUUAACUAGAGUGUGGGAGAGGAUGGUAGAAUUCCAGGUGUAGCGGUGAAAUGCGUAGAGAUCUGGAGGAAUACCGAUGGCGAAGGCAGCCAUCUGGCCUAACACUGACGCUGAGGUACGAAAGCAUGGGGAGCAAACAGG
RNAcentral lists this ribosomal RNA (430 nucleotides) under Pseudomonadota bacterium. RNAcentral's name for it is "Proteobacteria bacterium partial 16S ribosomal RNA". It matches the Rfam family "Bacterial small subunit ribosomal RNA", at positions 355 to 776 of the family's 1533-position model. Lineage: Bacteria; Pseudomonadati; Pseudomonadota. The record is from RNAcentral.